Long non-coding RNA from Sciurus carolinensis (gray squirrel), 454 nucleotides. RefSeq lists it as uncharacterized. The record is from RefSeq and is a predicted model, not a curated record. The transcript is spliced from 3 exons. Lineage: Eukaryota; Metazoa; Chordata; Mammalia; Rodentia; Sciuridae.
GAGACUGGAAGGUUUUUAGCAGUCUAUUUUCCCUUUAUUUCCUAAAUCAUUAAGUUAGCUUUAAACACAGAAAAGGACAUUUUAAAAAAUGUAAACUUACCAUCUGCUUUUAUUUUCUGUUUGCUCCAGUCUUUUGGCACAGUGGUAAUCACAGUAUGGUCUUGCUAAGAUGCCCUGGUUGGCCUUGAACUUGUGAUCCUCCUGCCUCAGACUCCUGAGUCAUUGGAAUUACAGAUCAGUACUUCAAUCUGAAAGAAGUUCACCCAGUUCAGUGAGUGCACAGAAGAGCUGUUCUAAAAGUCUGAUUCACUGACCAACAGCAUCACCAUCACCUGGGACCUUACUCAAAGUUCAAAUUCUUGGGCUGGGGCUGCAGCUCAGUGGUAGAGCACUUGCCUAGCACAUAUGACACACUAAGAUCAAUCCUGGCACCACAUGAAAAUAAAUAAAUGAA